AAAAAUUCCUUUUUGAUUAAUGCCUGGGAAAUUGCCCUGAUGUGGGGGAUAACCAUUGGAAACGAUGGCUAAUACCGCAUAGUAGCUUCGGCUUAAAGAGGGGGACCUUCGGGCCUCUCGCGUCAGGAUAUGCCCAGGUGGGAUUAGCUAGUUGGUGAGGUAAAGGCUCACCAAGGCGACGAUCCCUAGCUGGUCUGAGAGGAUGAUCAGCCACACUGGAACUGAGACACGGUCCAGACUCCUACGGGAGGCAGCAGUGGGGAAUAUUGCACAAUGGGCGCAAGCCUGAUGCAGCCAUGCCGCGUGUGUGAAGAAGGCCUUCGGGUUGUAAAGCACUUUCAGUCGUGAGGAAGGGUGUGUAUUUAAUAGAUGCGCACUUUGACGUUAGCGACAGAAGAAGCACCGGCUAACUCCGUGCCAGCAGCCGCGGUAAUACGGAGGGUGCGAGCGUUAAUCGGAAUUACUGGGCGUAAAGCGCAUGCAGGUGGUUCGUUAAGUCAGAUGUGAAAGCCCGGGGCUCAACCUCGGAAUAGCAUUUGAAACUGGCGAACUAGAGUACUGUAGAGGGGGGUAGAAUUUCAGGUGUACGGUGAAUGCGUAAGAUCUGAAGGAAACCAGUGGCGAAGGCGGCCCCUGGACAAUACUGACCUCAGAUGCGAAGCGUGCGGAGCAACAGGAUAGAUACCUGGUAGCCCUCCGUAACGA
Molecule: ribosomal RNA, 705 nt
Filed under: Vibrio oceanisediminis
Lineage: Bacteria; Pseudomonadati; Pseudomonadota; Gammaproteobacteria; Vibrionales; Vibrionaceae
Description: bacterial SSU rRNA
Rfam family: Bacterial small subunit ribosomal RNA
Source: RNAcentral